GUGGGGAAUCUUGCGCAAUGGGCGAAAGCCUGACGCAGCCAUGCCGCGUGAAUGAUGAAGGUCUUAGGAUUGUAAAAUUCUUUCACCGGGGACGAUAAUGACGGUACCCGGAGAAGAAGCUCCGGCUAACUUCGUGCCAGCAGCCGCGGUAAUACGAAGGGGGCUAGCGUUGCUCGGAAUUACUGGGCGUAAAGGGCGCGUAGGCGGACAGCUUAGUCAGAGGUGAAAGCCCAGGGCUCAACCUUGGAAUUGCCUUUGAUACUGGCUGUCUUGAGUUUGGGAGAGGUGAGUGGAACUCCGAGAGUAGAGGUGAAAUUCGUAGAUAUUCGGAAGAACACCAGUGGCGAAGGCGACUCACUGGCCCAAUACUGACGCUGAGGCGCGAAAGCGUGGGGAGCAAACAGGAUUAGAAACCCCGGUAGUCC
Molecule: ribosomal RNA, 425 nt
Filed under: uncultured bacterium
Lineage: Bacteria
Description: partial 16S ribosomal RNA
Rfam family: Bacterial small subunit ribosomal RNA
Source: RNAcentral